This 381-nucleotide ribosomal RNA is filed under the name uncultured marine Chaetocerotaceae. Its description in RNAcentral is "SSU rRNA". It matches the Rfam family "Eukaryotic small subunit ribosomal RNA", at positions 587 to 972 of the family's 1831-position model. Lineage: Eukaryota; Bacillariophyta; Thalassiosirophyceae; Chaetocerotales; Chaetocerotaceae. The record is from RNAcentral.
AGCUCCAAUAGCGUAUAUUAAAGUUGCUGCAGUUAAAAAGCUCGUAGUUGCAUUUCCGAGGCAAGGGAUUAGUCCGACCUUUGGUGGGUAUUUAAUCCUCUUGCCUCGUCCUUGAGUGGUGCUUCUUGGUAUUAAGUUAUCGAGGAGAUAGCCGCUCAUCGUUUACUGUGAGAAAAUUAGAGUGUUCAAAGCAGGCUUAUGCCGUUGAAUAUAUUAGCAUGGAAUAAUAAGAUAGGACCUCGGUACUAUUUGGUUGGUUUGAGAACCAAGGUAAUGAUGAAGAGGGACAGUUGGGGGUAUUCGUAUUCAGUUGUCAGAGGUGAAAUUCUUAGAUUUACGGAAGACGAACUACUGCGAAAGCAUUUACCAAGGAUGUUUUCA